This 5364-nucleotide long non-coding RNA is filed under the name Prunus persica (peach). RNAcentral describes it as "long non-coding RNA (PPER_LNC004203)". Lineage: Eukaryota; Viridiplantae; Streptophyta; Magnoliopsida; Rosales; Rosaceae. The record is from RNAcentral.
AUAGAUCCUUGCUUGGGGUACUCAUAUGUUGAGUUUGAGGUGCUGAGGUGCAUUCAGGUAGGUCUAUUGUGUGUUCAAGCGCUUCCAAAAGACAGACCAGUAAUGUCAUCAGUGGUUGUCAUGUUAAGCAAUGAAGGAGUAACAUUACCUCAACCAAAGGAGCCAGGAUUCUUUACAGAACGAAGUUCCAUGGACGAUACCAUAAUUGACGAAGGUAGAAGUAGCCAGACAGGAAGCAGUAUUACCAUUUCGACAGUGGAAGCUAGAUAACUGACACAUGACAACUUGGACUCAUAAUUAGGAUUUAACGCAUUUUGACAUGGAUGCUGAUGAAUUUUCUUGCAAACAGACAGAAAGCCAUAACCUCAAUGGGAGGUUGAUUCAGAAAAGUAAAAUGUAAAUCUAGACUAACUACUGUUUACAGAGUAAUGCACAAGCAUCAUAAACAUGUAGUAUUGCAUUGUAAGAGGCCGGCUGCCACGAGAAUUGUAUCCAAUUGGUCAAAUAACUAAAGUCUUGUAUGUGAAUUAUAUGUUUCUGCUGAAUAUUUUAUGCAGCUGUGGUUCCUUUCCUUCCAAGAAGCAUUGCUGAAUUUUAGCAUGAGUUGCCAAAUUUUUGUUUAUCGCAAUCGUGACCACACCCAAGAAGGAUGUCUCCUUAGUUGGGCUGUUUAUCAGAUAAUUAAUGGGUUCGUUAGAACAUGAGAAUGAGAGAAAAUAAUUUUUCUGGUUUUUAACUUGUAUUUUUCUUUGUAUUACUAACAACGUAUUUAUACAAGAGGAUGGAUUGCUAACCAAGCUCAUCGGUAAUUACAAGUAGGCAGCUGGUGCCAUUAAUCCUACAAUAGACAGCUGGUGCUAGCUUUGGUUUCCAACUCCUGGAGAUUGCAGCAACAGCCUCCUAAAGUCAAGUCAAUUUAAUGCUUUCACAACACAAGUCAACAAGUACCACCUUUCAUCCUUCCAAUUGAAACAAUACCUCCACCAUUUUCUUUUCUACCUCUAACAUUUCAUUAUUAAUUCUCUCAUGGAUGUAAUAGUAAUAAACUCCAUCUCCCUUAUUUCCAAGUCUUCUCCUUUCUUCUUCUUCAUAUUCUUCUUCUCUCUCUCUCUCUCAUAAAUUUAGGCUAGGUGAGUCAUCCGUUCAUAUAUAUUGGUGGAUUUGAAAGCUUGAGGCAAGGGGGGAAGAAUGGGAGGAGGGUGGGUUGAUGCCCUCCACAUUUUAGAUUCUGUUUUAGGUUUUUGGCUUACCAGGGUAUUUUGGUAAUUUAAACAUAGGGUUUAGGGUAGGUGAGUCAUCCUUUCAUAAUGGUGGAUUUGAAAGCUUGAGGCAAGUGGAGAAGAAUGGGAGGAGGGUGGGUUGAUGCCCUUCACAUUUCAGAUUCUGUUUAUUGUUUUUGGCCUACAAGGGUAUUUUGCUAAUGUUGACCCAAAAUUUAGAAACUAUUUCCUACAUGUUCAUUGAGUCGACUAGUGUCGUACUACCUAUGAAUCAUAAUGGUCUCACUUCAAUGUCUUAAAUGUCCUUUGAAAAAUUCACAAAAUGUUAUGUAAGGGCAUUUUUGUCAAACUUGUAAUUAAACACACUAAAUCCAAUAGUCUCAAUCUAAAAUCACUUGAUAAAAUGUCCAUAAUUAUUCUUCACCAUAAUAUAUAUUUUUUUCUUCACUGAAAUACGAAAGUCCACUUUUAAUUUGUCAAGGUAUUACAUUUUCAAUCCGUUUUCUUAUCGUGUCAUGUCAUGUUAACCCAUUAAGAAAAGCGGGUUGACAUGAAAACGACACGAAUGCCUAGUCUAAUUUGCGGGGGCCGCUUGGGGUUUGUAAGAGACACGUCUCUGUAAUUUCUGCUCUGUAAAGAAAGAAAGAAAAAAAAAGAAAAAAGAAAGAGAGAGAAGGAAACGAGAGAAGAAACAAAAAAGAAUAGAGAGAAAUUCUAUUCCUUCAAAAAACAACUUAUAAAAACAUUAUAAAUAUCAAAUGGUGUAGCACAUAAUCACAAAGUUGUAUCAGAAAUUGCCACUCCUGUGAUUAUUUAGGGAUUUAGAGAUCAUCUGGCAAAAGUUUCAAGCGUAGAAAAUUGAAAGUCAGCUGGCAACUUAGCAUAGGAAAUAAGGUGGUCAAAAUAGCAUUAUAAUAAUUGUAACAUUGAGAAAGGCUGGCUUCAAAGUCCGAAGUUUCAGUCACCUUCCCAUUUCUGGAAAGGAACACAAAUGAAGGUCCUUGCAUUAAUCCUCUCUACCUAUCUACUCCAUUUUUUAGUCUUACAAUUGUCCGGAGCAGCUGAUACAAUCUCUGCUGCACAAUCCAUCACCAGCACUAAUACCUUGGUUUCUUCCGGCCAAAGCUUCGAAUUAGGACUCUUCUCCCCGGGCAAUUCAGAGGCCUGGUAUUUAGGAAUAUGGUACAAGAAUUUUCCAACUAUUGUUGUAUGGGUUGCCAACAGAGAAAAUCCAGUUGCAGAUUCACAUGGAUCCUUGAAAUUAUCCAAAAAUGGAAGUCUUGUCCUUUUAGAUCAAAUGAACAAUACUAUUUGGUCUUCCACUUCUUCCCAAGUAGCAGAAGACCCUGUUGCACAACUUUUGGAGAAUGGAAACCUGGUUGUCAGAGAAAAGGAUACAACAGAUUCAGAAAGCUACAUAUGGGAAAGUUUCAAUUUGCCAUCAGACACUCUGCUACCAGAAAUGAAGGUUGGAUGGGACUUCAGAACAGGCGUCAACAGAUUCUUGACUUCUUGGAAAAAUGCUAGUGACCCAUCUCUUGGAGAAUAUACCUAUGGGAUUGAUAAUCUGAUGUUGCCUCAGCUUGUUGUUGCCAAAGGAUCAAAGAAAUUGUUCCGUACCGGGCCUUGGAAUGGUGUUCAAUUUUCUGGUACUCCUGAUUCUGGGAACAAACGAAUUGUGAAACCAAUCUAUGUGUAUGAUACCAAUGGGUUCUAUUAUAUGUAUGAGGCUACUGAGAGUUCUAUUCUAACAAGAGUGAAGCUGUCUGAAACUGGUUUGGCCCAGCGGCUAGUGCUGAAUGAAGGAAGCACUGAAUGGGCUGUUAUGUAUACUUUGCUGAAUGACAGGUGUGACAAUUACAGGGAGUGUGGAGCAAAUGGAAUUUGCAGAACUUCCAAGUCUCCAAGUUGUGAGUGCCUGCAGGGGUUUGUACCAAAAUCGCAAAACGAAUGGGAUGUGCUUAACUGGGAAAGUGGGUGCAUUAGGCAGACACCACUGGAUUGCCAGAAGGGAGAAGGGUUUUUGAAAGUUCGAAACGUGAAAUUGCCAGACCUGUUGGAGUUUUGGGCAAACACAAAAAUGAGUGUGCAGGAAUGUGAGGCAGAGUGCUUGAGGAAUUGUUCUUGUGUAGCUUAUGCUAGUUCAGAUAUCCGUAACGGAGGAAGUGGCUGUCUGAUGUGGUUUGGCGACCUAAUUGAUAUGCGAGAGUUCCUUGAAGCAGAUGUUGAGCAAGAUAUACACAUUAGGAUGCCAUUUUCGGAACUAGGUAAGUCAUUGUUUUGCUUUUAGAAUGUAUUAGAUCCUGAUCCUGUUAAUUGAAGCCCUUAAUCAUUAACAUGAAGUACAUAAGGUUAGAGGAAUUUUGGCAUGCCUAAAUGUUAUCCAUUACAUAACAGAAUCUUUAGGUGGUACCGGCAAGAAGGACAAAAGGGUUAUACUUAUCUCGGUCAUAUCAGCAGUUUCUGUGCUUCCACUUCUGGCUUUGUUAUGCUGGUGUAUACUUCUGAAGAAGAGAGGAAGGAAUGUAUCCACAUCUACAGGUAAGCUUGCAUUUGCAGGAAUCAAAACCUUUGUAUCCUGGAGGAAAUCUUAUGUAUUAAGGCCAUUGUCAUUGGAUAAUAAUGUUUUUCCUUUGUUCUUUUUCUCUUUUUCAUGUUACAGGCUCAAGAUCAAUUAAGGAGGACUGGGAGUUGCCACUGUUUGAUUUUAAGACAAUUGCAACCGCCACCAAUAAUUUCUCUCACACAAACAAACUAGGAGAGGGAGGUUUCGGUCCAGUUUACAAGGUAACGGAGCUAUAGUUGACGUUAGUGUGCGUGAACUCAUGUGCUAACAUAUUUAUACUAAAUUUUCAGGCCAACCUAACCCGAGAAGAAUUCAUAGCUGUAAAGAGACUCUCAAAAGAUUCUGGGCAAGGUAUUGAAGAGUUUAAGAAUGAAGUUACAAUGAUAGCCAACCUCCAACACUGGAAUCUUGUUAAACUUUUGGGCUGCUGCAUUGAAAGAGAAGAAAGGAUGCUUAUCUAUGAGUACAUGCCCAACAAAAGCUUGGACUGCUUUAUUUUCGGUAUAAGAUUAUGUCUUUCAUGUUUCGUAUUAAUUACGUAACCUAAAUGUUCAUUUACUACUUUUCAGUGAAAUUUAUGCAAUUAAACAGAAUCCUAUUUAGCUCUGUUUAUGUCACAAAGGAGGAAAACUGAACCAAAUGAGCUGAUGUGAUGGAAAACUUGUGCAGAUCAAAAUAGAAAGGUUUUUCUGAAUUGGCAAAAGCGAUUGAACAUUAUCAUGGGAAUUGCUCGAGGACUUCUCUACCUCCACCAAGACUCCAGAUUAAAAAUCAUUCAUAGAGACCUUAAGAGUAGCAACAUCUUACUUGAUGAUGAGCUGAACCCCAAAAUAUCUGACUUUGGCAUAGCAAGGAUUUUUGGACGCAAUCAAACCGAAGCAAAAACAAAACGAGUAAUUGGGACAUAGUAAGUUACACUAACCUAGACCAUGAAAGGAAUCUUCAUUUCUGCAACAGCAACUAAUUAAGUACUUAAGUUAUGUUUUUUUGCAUGCAGUGGAUAUAUGUCUCCUGAGUAUGCAAUUGAUGGAAAGUUUUCAGAGAAAUCCGAUGUGUUCAGUUUUGGAGUGCUUUUGUUAGAGAUAGUAAGUGGCAGAAAGAACAGAGGGUUUCAUCAUCCAGAUCACCAUCACACUCUUCUGGGACAUGUAGGUAUUUAAUGUUUAUAUGUGUGUGCUAAUUUUGAUCCUCUAGUUUUUCCAUGGGUAUGACUAAAGCCAUAUAAAUUUGAAUUGUUCCAGGCAUGGUUACUGUGGAAUGAAAAUAAGGGUUUGGAGCUAAUAGAUCCUUGCUUGGGGUACUCAUAUGUUGAGUUUGAGGUGCUGAGGUGCAUUCAGGUAGGUCUAUUGUGUGUUCAAGCGCUUCCAAAAGACAGACCAGUAAUGUCAUCAGUGGUUGUCAUGUUAAGCAAUGAAGGAGUAACAUUACCUCAACCAAAGGAGCCAGGAUUCUUUACAGGAAGAAGUUCCCUGGACGAUACCAUCAUCGACAAAGGUAGAGGUAGCCAGACAGGAAGCAGUAUUACCAUUUCGACAGUGGAAGCUAGAUAACUGACACAUGGGAACUUGGACUCGUAAU